UGUACUUAUAAUCAAUUAAAAUCUCUAAUAUCGUAAAAUAAUAGGAGUCAGCAUAUAAUUUUUAAUUUACAAACAAUGGUUUGACCAAUACUUGGUAAUUCUGAGGCAAACUUUAAAAAUGCAGGAUGAACUCUACCAUUUCCAGCAAACUCUUCGGGGGAAAGUUGUAGUUGUGUUCUGUUGGAUAAGUUCAAGUGUCGAUAUAAUGAACCAACCUCAACUCACUUCCCUCUCUGUUCUUGCCAGCAUCCAAGACGUCACAAUUUUGGUCAAGGCCUAAGUACCUCUUGGAAAUGGAAAUAACCUCCAACGGCAACUUGGAGAUGCUAAAGCAGUUUUGAAAUAUCAAUGGCCACAUGAAAAGAAAAUUCAAGUGGUAUGGAACUGAUAAAUUGACAGGUUUCUGCGGCCCUCCCUCUCACGUUCCUCCUGUUCAGGGACGUGGACUGUGGAUGAAGGCAUCAGGGUUGCGGGACCACCCAGCACUCCGUUCCAGGCAAUAAUUAUUAUACACAUUACAAGAUGCACAUACACACACAGGGGUGUAAUAUUCAUUAACUUCAUGCACCUCUCCAAGAGCAGUCAACUUCAAAUUAGUGUGCAUAUUCCCACUUUACCGUUCUGUACUGAAUGGCCUCCACAAUAAACCGUUUGAUUUCUGCUCCACCCAUUCUGAUCAAAAGUACAGUAUCCAAAGAAAUGACUGAAGGGCAGACAUCCAAAUAACUCCAACUCUAUUAGCAUAGUGCAAAUGCUUCCCUCCUUUCUAAUGAAGGACCAAGCCCAGGUUGGGAACUUUUCUCAUGAUGUGUGGCUAGAGAGCCUUGUGGAAUCCCCUUCGCACCCUGCUGUGCAGUUUGAAUAGGACAACGCCUUAAACAAGCAAAAUCUCACAGUGAGGGAGCAUGGGACUAUUUAUAACAAUACCGUGAGAUAUUUGAGAUUGUAAAGAACAGCUCCUUAUGAUGAUUCACCAAUCAACACCUCAGAUCUUCUGUGCUAAAACAAACCAGCACAUUAAGGAAAAUCUAGUAGACAAACAAACCGGUUUAAAUGGAUGAGUUUCUGCUAAAUACAGUGUAGCUUUAGGAGUUAACUCUAUACAUGCUGCAAGGUGUAAAAGUUUACUAAACAGAGUCAUACGGUGAAAGGAAAAGAAUGAGUAACAUUUAAAUGAAUUUAUCACAUAUACUAUCAUUUCUGCUCUCUUGGUUAACUAGAAGGGGAAAAUAAAUACUUCAAACAAUAACCGCUGUCGGACAAUCUUGACUCAGACUUCAAAUUGUGUAUAGUCAUUAGAACUGGAACAGAGGUUUGACUCAAGCUGUUUGCAUCUUCAAAUAACAGUAAGUUAAAGGAAGCAGUGAAAACAUAUGAUUGUGAAGUAAUACAUGGGGAAUAGAAUGUAAUAAGUCCAGGGCUGGUACAUCAUUUUGCCCCAAGUCUAUCCGGCUGUUCAAUAACAUAAUGACAAAUCUACUUCAACACCACGUUUUGCCCAAACCUCUUUCCCUUCAAUAUCCAGAAAUCUAUUGAGCCCUGUUUCAAUUUAAAAUGACCAACUCAUUCUCCACAGAAUCUCAGGGAAAAGAAUUCCAAAGAUUCACCACCAUUACUGAAAAAAGUCUCAUCAUUUGUGUCCUGAAUGGUCCACCCUUUAUUUUGAGAUUGUGAUAUUGAAUUUUAGGCUCCUUCAUCGAGGGACAGAAACAUCCUCCCUGCAGCCUCUCAAGACCUGCAAGACCUUUGUUUUCAUCCAGGUCACCUCUCAUUUUGUUAAACUCUAAGCAAUAAUGGCUAACCUAAUCAGCGUCUCCUUAUAUGACAGAUCCAUCACUCCGGGAACCAUGCUGAGUAAUCCUCAUUGUAUUUUCUAUAGCAAGUACAACGUUUUUAAGAAAGGAUGCAGGGAAUUACCUACACGCAGAUGGCACUGAGCCACCAUCAAAAACAGAUGCACAGUACUUUUGAGAUGAGCAACACACACAAAAUUCUGGAGGAGCUCUGCAGAUCAGGCAACAUCCAUGGAGGGGAAUAAGCAGUUAACAUCUUAGGAUGAUACCGUUCAUCAAGUCAAGUGAGUUGACACAUCCAGGAUUUAGGUUUAAUAACUAUGAAGGAUCAAUGAUACAUUUCAAAGUCAGAAUGAUGUUUAGAUUUUGAGUGGAAACUACUGGAUUUCUUUGUUUGUCCUUCAUGAUGAUAAAUGCCAGGAUAGCUUAGAAAAGUAACUGCAGUGCAUUUUGUAAAUAGUACAAUACUGUAGGCAAGGUGUUUUUAACAAUGGUAGAUGGGCAUCAAUUAAAUGAGUUUCUUGAAUAUUGUUAGAACCAUGACCAUCAGUAAAGAAUAUUCUAUCACAUUCUUGGCUUGUUCCUUAAAUGGCGAUGAAGACCUGAGAUGUCACCAAUGUUUCCUCUAAGGUGUGUGCACGGACUCAUCUUUUGUUACUAGUGCACAAAGGAAUUUAAACUGGACACAAAAGGUUGUCACCUUUUAUCUCAUUGGCAUGUUAAGUGUAGUUCAUGAUCGUACACAAUCACAUUUCCUUUUCUAGUUUCUAAUGGGAAUGGUGUUGACAACGUGGAGUUUGCGAUGAUUUGUCUGCAGGUUUUAGAACUGGUUUAUCUAUUUUCUUUUUAUUGAAGAAAUGUCAAAUUCCAAAGAAGCAAAGGGAGUGGAGCACAAAAAAUGCUAGUUCAUUUAAAGUGGAAUGGCUUAAUGAAACAGUAGAAACUGCUACAUCAAAAGCUCCAUGAGGUCAGAAACACACAGCUACGAGAAAUGUUUAUGUACAAUACAGAAACCGGGGUGUGUAUUGUCACAAUGCAAAAGUUGCUGGAGAAUUUGCAAGUGGGAAGAAAUGGAGUGAUAUUUGGAAACAACUUUUGAAAGCAUCAUUUUGCAAACAAGUCACAUAUGGACGGCAUGCCAAAGCUCCAGCGAGAAAAUCAUUCAUUACUCGCUGCAGGCCUGCUACAUGCAUUUUGUGAGAGUGCAGAUGAAUGAGAGCAAAGAUGAUCAAACCCAGAGGAGAUCAAAGUUCUUUUUAGCUUUUAAAAUGAAGACAUAUAUAUAUAUAUAUAAUUCAGUGCACACAUGUUGAAACUGGGCAAAAAAAUUGCACAGCACAGGAUUUUUGCCCACACUGGUCAUUACAAAUUAGAGGGAACUUUGGCUAUCACUCACCACAGUUGAGCCAGCACCUAACCUUGUCUAGAAGCUGUUUUAUCUAUAAGGCCAUUCUGCUUUGGUUUCAUGUCUGACCUCUGGGAUGCUGUUGGCAGAAUGUUCAUCAAUGAACACCCUCUCUUCUGAUCUUAUGAUAGAAGAAAAGUCAAACAAUGAACCACAUUACUUUUUCCCUCCAUUCAAAUUUGGACUAACAUUAUAAAGAUACAUUCAAUCUCCUCAAGUGUAUUGAAUGGGAUUUAUUAAGUCAGCCAUCUCAAAGAAGCUACCAUAAUGAGAUAUAGGGAAAAGAUUUUCACUCUCAAAAGGAAUGAAAGCAAGGCAAACAACAUCAAUCAUCUAAUAUGGAUCACCCGCAUGGCUCUUUGCAUUCAUUUUAUUUAUAAAAUAUCCCUCCUGUUGAUCAAAAGGGCAAUUCUAAUGGACCAAUCAAUGGUUACCUGUGAUUAACACAAAAGCAAGCUACUAUAAACAUUGAAAAUCUGAGAUAAUGAAAACAUGUAAAUGGUGGAAAUGCAUGGCAAGACUGGCAGCUUAUGUACAGAGUGGAAAAACAGAAAAAGUGAAUGAAAUGAUCCUUCAUUGAAACUUGCAAAAGUUUGAGCAAAAUAUCUUUAAAGUUGCAGGGAAAAGAGGAGAAAACAAGUGACUGGAUAUAGCCGACUGGCAAUUCCAUUUCACCAUUCACUGUGCAACACAGAGGUUAGAUCAUGUCCAGGCUUCUACAGUACUAUUCCGGAAUGCACACAUAGCCUUCCACAGAUGAUCAGCAGGGAGAAAUGAGUCUUCAUCUGUGAAUGCAGAUUAAAACUGAAUGAAAAUUCCCAGUAACAGGGUGUGUAUAAAGCCAGCACUCUCUCUGACGUCUUGGUAAAGACUAAUUAAGUGUUUCUGAGAGCAUCAGGUGAGAUUCUCACCAUUAAGGGUGAGCUUGUCAAUGCUGAGAGACUGAAUCUCAGUUGUGCUUCAAAGGAACAACCUCGCUAGCAUUCAUGGUGUGGAGGAGCAGACUCACUGAGAGCUGAUUAUUCUAGGCAAGGCAAUGAGGCAUCAGUGGGCUUCAACAUGCUGACUUCUUGCCCUAGUGGUGCACAACUACGGAGAGGAAGAUUCUCUUUCUACGUUGUCAGUGACUGCAAAUUACUUCCUAUUGAUUUUAAGACCUCACUUUGCCCUUUCUUUAUAUUGUGUUGUGAAAUAAACUUUCCGAUUCAGAAAAUAUAGUUUCAAAUUUAUAUUUACGAAUAAGGCUCAGAAACCAGUACAAACAAUCUCAGCAAUUACAGUGCACAAUUGAAUUGGUGCUGAGAAAACUUUUGUUAGGACCUUAAUGCAAAAUGUCAUUACUCCAAAACAAUAGAAUGUUCAAGUUUAUUGUCAUCUGACUGUACAUACAUACAACAAAACAAAACAACAUUCCUCUGGACUGUGGUGCACUCAAACAAUAUAUAUUACACAUAAACAAAAAUAUUAUACUUCAUAAUCAUUGAAGUCAGUGCCACUGGGCAGCAAUCAUUUAGGCCAGUUAUCUGCUGCUCUCUUGGGCACCAGAAUGAUGGUGGCUGCCUUGAAGCCUGCAUGAGAAAUGGGCUGUUUCAGAAAGAAAUUAAGGAUGUCUACUAAGACCUCUGUUAGCUGGGCCACACCAUCUCGCAGCGCCUGACUAGGUAUGUUGUUCAGCCCCACAGCUUUGCAGGUGUUUACCCUGGCUAGGGUCUUCUUCACCUCAGUUGUGGACAGACAGGGAUUCUGUUCUUCAGGAAGAGAAGGGGCUUUCCUCAAUAUCACAUCAUUCAAUUGGUCAAAUUGUGCAUAAAAAGCAUUCAGCCUAUCAGGAACAGAGCUGUCACUGUCAACACGCAGGAUGGACAUAUUCAGUUAUAGUUUGUAUAUCUUGCCACAUGAGCCACUUGGUGUCCUUGAUGUCACAGAAGUGUCUGUGUAUUUUCUGUGCAUACUCAUACUUUGCCAUCCUGAUGGCACAGGAGAGUGCAGACAUUAGGUUCAUUCUGCCCCCUGUUCUGAAGUUAAUGUCUUUUAACCCUGCUAUCAUAUGAUGAAUACUCAUCUGCGAAAAACAAGAAAUUGAGCCAAAAUGAAUUCACAGAACACAUGGACUCUGCAGAUGCUGGAAAUCCAAGCAACACACACAAAAUGCUGGAGGAACAGCAGAUCAGGCAGCAUCUAUGGAGGGGCAUAAACAGUCCUUCUUUUUGGCCAAGGCCCAUCAUCAGGAUUAGAAAGGAAGGAGAAGAAGCCAGAACAAGUAGGUGAGGGGAGGAGAAAGAGUGCAAUUCAGAAAGUGAUAGGUGAAGUCAAGUUGGCGAGGGGGAUGAAGUAAGAAGCUAAGAGGUGAUAGGUGAACAAGUUAAAGGGCUGGAGAAGAAAGAAUCUGAAAGGAUAGGAGAGUGGACCAUGAGAGAAAGGAAAGAACAAGGGGCAUGAGGGGGAGGUAGUAGGAGGUGAGGAGAAGAAGAGGAAUAAGGGAGGACAAAGUGGAGAAUUGAAGAGGAGUGGAAAGGGGAGGGAGAAAAUGAUCAGAAGUUAGAAAAAUUGACAUUCACACCUUCAGGUCAGAGAUACCCAGAAAGAAUAUGAGAUGUUGUUCCUCCAACCUGGGAGUGGCCUCAUCAUGGCAGUAGAGAAGGCUGUGGACCGACAUACCGGAAUGGGAAUGGACAUUGGAAUUAAAAUGGUUGGCUACUGAGAAAUCCUACUUUUCGCAAAUGGAGCAAAGAUUUUCAAGAAAGCUGUUCCCCAAUCUACUGUACGCCGGGUCUCAAUAAUGUAGAAGAGGCUGCGUGGGAGCGCUGGAUACUGUAGACAAACCCAAAAGAUUAGCAGAUGAAAUGUUGCUUCACCUGGAAGGACUGUUUGGGGCCCCGAGUGGAGUCUAAUCCCCUCCAUAAAUGCUGCCUGGCCUGCUAAGAUCCUCCAACAUAUUGUGUGUGCUAAUUCACGGAAGCUAUUCCAGAGGAACAAAACUGACAAACACAAGUUUUUCUUACAGUUAAAAUGCUUUGAAGUAGAUGAAACAUAUCACACAUGCAGCAAGCUUAACCUGUAAUAUUAAAUGCAAAAAAAUCUAAAGCUGCCUAUUUAAAUAUCUUGAGAUUGCAUUACUGUAACAUUGAAAAAAAUGCAUUCAAUGCAUUUCAGUUUUCAAUGCAUUCUAUACAGAGAUGUAACUUUCUAUAUUAAUUGUAAGCACAACUAAAUUAACAUUGAACUCCUGAACUCUUUACUGUUAGCAAAAUCUGUCAAUAAUUAUAAUGUUUAAACUAAGAAGCAAAGAGAGAAGGUGACCCAAGUAUAAUUACUAAAAGCCCUUCACUUCCCAUGGUAAUCCUGCCAGAAUGGAGACAUAAGUAACCACAGCUAACAUAAAUAAACAGUGCAUUGGACUUUGGAGAUUUGUUUUGAUAAUUCCAGUGAUAAGUCUUACCACCCCAGAUUCAAGGAUGUUUUUGGAGCCUUUGUUAGUCAAUAACAGGGGGUAGAUUUUUUUUCCCCAUCAUGUAAAUGGAAUGGAGCAGCUGUGUUUCGAUGAUUAGCAUUGAGAUUCACUUGGCAGGAAACCAAUUGCAUUCUCACAGUAAAAAUGAUACGCCUUCCUCACUUAAUAUACAGUGCAAAAUCUGGUAUUCAUUGGCAUCCAGCAUGGAUUCAUGGAUAAGCGAAACAUUUUCUGAUCUCAAGAGUGUUCAGAAUUAAGGAUAAAGUGCUGGCAAAGGUUUCAGAGACACUUAAUAUCUAAAGUUAUAUAGUAAUAUAAAGGAUGUUGUUGUACUCAGUUAAGCAACAACUGUAACAAAAAAGUCUAAACGCAAAAUGUUUUUUUAAAAUUUACAGUCAGAAAUGAACCUCCUUUAAAGAAUACUACAAAGCUGGAUGUCCACAUUUACAUUUGUGCCAUUGAUAUUUAGAAUCUAAACUAAGUCAAUUUGCAUGAAACUGGGUUCUUUUGGGUUUCUUGCUUUGCAGCUGUCUGUAAGCAGACAAAUCUCAAGAUUUUAUAAUUCAUAUCUUUUUUGAUUUGGUUGUAACUACAUUGUGGGGUGAUUCAUGUUCUUAUUCAUGUGUUUUAAGUUAAAAGUGGGUAAGUAAAAAUGAGAAUGUCCUGGUGUCUAGUAAAUGGGGCUCGCUCUCACUGGGAGAGAGAGAUUGGGCUGCCAGAAGUUCACAUUAUGGAGCUGUAAUUAUGUUUUCCGGUAGAUAUCUUUUUCUAAGUAUUGGCAGUUAUCUUUUCACUAUUUCUGCUAAUUUUUGUAAGUUUGCUUUUUGGUGUACCUAAUAAACACAUGCACUAAGGUG
Hypanus sabinus (Atlantic stingray) is the source of this 7506-nucleotide long non-coding RNA. RefSeq lists it as uncharacterized. The transcript is spliced from 2 exons. The record is from RefSeq and is a predicted model, not a curated record. Lineage: Eukaryota; Metazoa; Chordata; Chondrichthyes; Myliobatiformes; Dasyatidae.